Molecule: ribosomal RNA, 1235 nt
Filed under: metagenome
Description: bacterial LSU rRNA
Rfam family: Bacterial large subunit ribosomal RNA
Source: RNAcentral
UGAAUACGAGAUGCUACGGCGUCGAAGCAGUCUAUGUCAUACUUCCAAGAAAAGCUCGCACUGUCAUAAACAAAUAAUGCCUGUACCAUAACCGACACAGGUGGGUAGGUAGAGUAUACUAAGGGGCGCGAGAUAACUCUCUCUAAGGAACUCGGCAAAAUGACUCCGUAACUUCGGGAGAAGGAGUGCCUUAUUUAUAAGGUUGCAAUAACAAGAUCCAAGCAACUGUUUAUCAAAAACACAGGUCUCCGCUAAGUCGUAAGACGAUGUAUGGGGGCUGACGCCUGCCCAGUGCCAGAAGGUUAAAGAAGUUGGUUAGCAUUCGCGAAGCUGAUAACUGAAGCCCUGGUGAACGGCGGCCGUAAUUAUAACGGUCCUAAGGUAGCGAAAUUCCUUGUCGGGUAAGUUCCGACCCGCACGAAAGGCGUAAUGAUUUGGAUACUGUCUCGGAGAGGGGCUCGGUGAAAUAGACUUGUCUGUGAAGAUGCGGACUACCUGCACCAGGACAGAAAGACCCUAUGAAGCUUUACUGUAACUUGAGAUUGAAAUUGGACUUUACUUGCGCAGUAUAGGUGGGAGGCGUUGAUAAUAUUCUUGCGGGAUUAUUUGAGCCAUCAGUGAGAUACCACUCUUGUAAUGUUAGAUUUCUAACUUUGUAUCAUUAUCUGGUCAAAGGACAGUUUCAGGCGGGCAGUUUGACUGGGGCGGUCGCCUCCUAAACGGUAACGGAGGCGCACAAAGGUUUCCUCUGAACGGGUAGAAAUCGUAUCUAGAGUGUAAAGGCAUAAGGAAGCUUGACUGUGAGACCUACAAGUCGAGCAGGGACGAAAGUCGGUCCUAGUGAUCUGACGGUGCUGAGUGGAAAGGCCGUCACUCAACGGAUAAAAGUUACUCUAAGGAUAACAGGCUGAUCUCCCCCAAGAGUUCACAUCGACGGGGAGGUUUGGCACCUCGAUGUCGGCUCAUCGCAUCCUGGGGCGGUAGUACGUCCCAAGGGUUGGGCUGUUCGCCCAUGAAAGCGGUAUGUGAGCUGGGUUCAGAACGUCGUGAGACAGUUCGGUCCAUAUCCGGUGUAGGCGUUAGAAUAUUGAGAGGAGCCUUCUUUAGUACGAGAGGACCGAGAAGGACAUACCUCUGGUGUACCAGUUAUCGUGCCAACGGUAAACGCUGGGUAGCUAUGUAUGGAGUGGAUAACCGCUGAAAGCAUCUAAGUGGGAAGCCCACCUCAAGAUAAG